GGAGUUAGCCGGUGCUUCUUCUGUGAGUGAUGUCCUUCCUGCCGGUUAUUGACCCGCAGGCCUUCUUCCUCACUGAAAGUGCUUUACAACCCGAAGGCCUUCUUCACACACGCGGCAUGGCUGGAUCAGGGUUGCCCCCAUUGUCCAAUAUUCCCCACUGCUGACUCCCGUAGGAGUCUGGGCCGUGUCUCAGUCCCAGUGUGGCUGAUCAUCCUCUCAGACCAGCUACGGAUCGUCGCCUUGGUGAGCCGUUACCUCACCAACCAGCUAAUCCGACAUAGGCUCAUCCGAUAGCGCGAGGCCCGAAGGUCCCCCGCUUUCCCCCGUAGGGCGUAUGCGGUAUUAGCCUGGGUUUCCCCAGGUUAUCCCCCACUACCGGGCAGAUUCCUAUGCAUUACUCACCCGUCCGCCGCUCGCCACCAGGGAGCAAGCUCCCCGUGCUGCCGCUCGACUUGCAUGUGUUAGGCCUGCCGCCAGCGUUCAAUCUGAACCAGAUCAAAUUCUGA
RNAcentral lists this ribosomal RNA (506 nucleotides) under uncultured bacterium. RNAcentral's name for it is "partial 16S ribosomal RNA". The record is from RNAcentral.